GGUUGCGAUCAUACCAGCACUAAUGCACCGGAUCCCAUCAGAACUCCGCAGUUAAGCGUGCUUGGGCGAGAGUAGUACUAGGAUGGGUGACCUCCUGGGAAGUCCUUGUGUUGCAACCC
This 119-nucleotide ribosomal RNA is filed under the name Helianthus annuus (common sunflower). Lineage: Eukaryota; Viridiplantae; Streptophyta; Magnoliopsida; Asterales; Asteraceae. The record is from RNAcentral.